This 208-nucleotide ribosomal RNA is filed under the name uncultured bacterium. Its description in RNAcentral is "partial 16S ribosomal RNA". It matches the Rfam family "Bacterial small subunit ribosomal RNA", at positions 568 to 774 of the family's 1533-position model. The record is from RNAcentral.
CGCGUAGGCGGUUUUAUAAGUCAGAUGUGAAAGGUACCGGCUCAACCGGUGACGUGCAUUUGAAACUGUAAGACUUGAGUACUGAAGAGGCAAGCGGAAUUCCUAGUGUAGCGGUGAAAUGCGUAGAUAUUAGGAAGAACACCGGUGGCGAAGGCGGCUUGCUGGGCAGAUACUGACGCUGAGGUGCGAAAGCGGUGGGGAGCGAACA